UCUGACACUUCUUUAGUGUAAUCACUGGC
Molecule: non-coding RNA, 29 nt
Filed under: Mus musculus (house mouse)
Lineage: Eukaryota; Metazoa; Chordata; Mammalia; Rodentia; Muridae
Source: RNAcentral